GAUGAAGAACGCAGUGAAAUGCGAUAAGUAAUGUGAAUUGCAGAAUUCAGUGAAUCAUCGAGUCUUUGAACGCACAUUGCGCCCCCUGGUAUUCCGGGGGGCAUGCCUGUCCGAGCGUCAUUGCUGCCCUCAAGCACGGCUUGUGUGUUGGGCCCCCGUCCCCGGUUUCCCCCGGGGACGGGCCCGAAAGGCAGCGGCGGCACCGCGUCCGGUCCUCGAGCGUAUGGGGCUUUGUCACCCGCUCUGUAGGCCCGGCCGGCGCCAGCCGACACCCAACUUUAUUUCUAAGGUUGACCUCGGAUCAGGUAGGGAUACCCGCUGAACUUAAGAAUAUCAAUAAGCGGAGGA
This 348-nucleotide unclassified non-coding RNA is filed under the name soil metagenome. RNAcentral's name for it is "partial contains 5.8S ribosomal RNA, internal transcribed spacer 2, and large subunit ribosomal RNA". The stretch from base 1 to 120 matches the Rfam family "5.8S ribosomal RNA", at positions 35 to 154 of the family's 154-position model. The record is from RNAcentral.